CAGGGAAACCCGCUUCUACCCACUAGAGCAAGAAGGCAGCUCUGUGGAUGAUGAAGAGCCCACCCCAGGACUGUCAAGAGAGGUCAUUCGUUUUCUCUUGGAACAGACCAUAAUGAAAGACUCAUAGCUGGUGCUGAUGUUGUGAAAGUGCUGUCACCUGCUCCCCAGAGUCCAUGGAUGUGUGUAGCACAUCUUUCUGUUUCCACCAUUAGCCGUAAGCUUUGCAGGGAGAAGCUUUGAUGGAGCCAGUAAGCACCUUGGUGUGCUACCUCCUACUCACCUUGGCCAAGGCUGCUACUGAUUCAACUAGGGUCGAGUCCUAGCCGAGCUUCUUGCCUUAGUCAGUGCUCCUGAGUGCUGUCCUGGUGACCUGGCCAGAGCUGGGACUUUGGCAGGAAAUCACUUCCCUGAUUGAGUUCAUCCCUUCCCCCACUCACCUACUGGUAUCUCUAGGGCCUUUUCUUUUCUUCGUUUUUUUUUUAAUUUAUUUUUCUUGAAUAUUUUAUGUAUUCACAUUUCAAAUGUUAUCUCUUUUCCCCUCUCCCAUACCUCAUCCCCCUCCUCCUGCUUCUAUGAGACUGCUCCCAUCCACCCACUCCAACCUCAACACCCUGGCAUUCCCCUACAUUGGGGAAAUAGCCUUCACAGGACCAACGGCUUUCCCUCCUAUUGAUGCUGGAUAAUGCCAUCCUCUGCUACAUAUGUGGCUAGAGUCAUGGGUCCGUUCAUGUGUACUUGUUGGUUGUUGGUUUAGUUCUAGGGCCUUUUUUAAAUAAACUUCUUGUAUCUGCA
This 792-nucleotide long non-coding RNA is filed under the name Rattus norvegicus (Norway rat). Its description in RNAcentral is "long non-coding RNA NONRATT018639". The record is from RNAcentral. Lineage: Eukaryota; Metazoa; Chordata; Mammalia; Rodentia; Muridae.